Molecule: unclassified non-coding RNA, 375 nt
Filed under: soil metagenome
Description: partial contains 5.8S ribosomal RNA, internal transcribed spacer 2, and large subunit ribosomal RNA
Rfam family: 5.8S ribosomal RNA (bases 1-120)
Source: RNAcentral
GAUGAAGAACGUAGCGGAAUGCGAUAAGUAAUGUGAAUUGCAGAAUUCAGUGAAUCAUCGAAUCUUUGAACGCACAUUGCGCCCGCCAGUAUUCUGGCGGGCAUGCCUGUUCGAGCGUCAUUUCAACCCUCAAGACCCCUUCGGGGGACUUGGUGUUGGGGACCGGCACAGGGGCCUGCCUGCUUGUCUUGCAGCGCCCUCGCCGCCCCCGAAAUGAAUUGGCGGCCUCGUCGCGGCCUCCCCUGCGUAGUAGCACAACCUCGCAACGGGAACGUGACGGCGGCCACUGCCGUAAAACAACCCCAAUUUUAUUAGAGUUGACCUCGAAUCAGGUAGGAAUACCCGCUGAACUUAAGCAUAUCAAUAAGCGGAGGA